GGGGGGGGGGGGGGGGGGGGGGGGGGCGGGGGGGGCGGGGGGCGGGGCGGGGGGGGCGUGCGCUUGCGGGGGGCGGGGGGCGGGCGGGUGGGGAGGACAUCGGGAUCUACUUUUUCGUGGGGGAUGACGGAGGGAAACUUACGCUACUACCGCAUACGACCUACGGGUGAAAGCCGGGGACCUUCGUCCCUUGCGCGAUUGCCUUCGCAGAUGUCGGAUUAGCUAGUUGGCGGGGUAAAGGCCCACCAAGGCGACGAUCCGUAGCUGGUCUGAGAGGAUGAUCAGCCACACUGGAACUGAGACACGGUCCAGACUCCUACGGGAGGCAGCAGUGGGGAAUAUUGGACAAUGGGCGCAAGCCUGAUCCAGCCAUACCGCGUGGGUGAAGAAGGCCUUCGGGUUGUAAAGCCCUUUUGUUGGGAAAGAAAAGCAGCAGGUUAAUACCCCGCUGUUCUGACGGUACCCAAAGAAUAAGCACCGGCUAACUUCGUG
RNAcentral lists this ribosomal RNA (492 nucleotides) under uncultured bacterium. RNAcentral describes it as "partial 16S ribosomal RNA". It matches the Rfam family "Bacterial small subunit ribosomal RNA", at positions 39 to 507 of the family's 1533-position model. The record is from RNAcentral.